AGUGAACGCUGGCGGUAGGCCUAACACAUGCAAGUCGAACGGCAGCACAGUAAGAGCUUGCUCUUACGGGUGGCGAGUGGCGGACGGGUGAGGAAUACAUCGGAAUCUACUUUUUCGUGGGGGAUAACGUAGGGAAACUUACGCUAAUACCGCAUACGACCUACGGGUGAAAGCAGGGGAUCUUCGGACCUUGCGCGAUUGAAUGAGCCGAUGUCGGAUUAGCUAGUUGGCGGGGUAAAGGCCCACCAAGGCGACGAUCCGUAGCUGGUCUGAGAGGAUGAUCAGCCACACUGGAACUGAGACACGGUCCAGACUCCUACGGGAGGCAGCAGUGGGGAAUAUUGGACAAUGGGCGCAAGCCUGAUCCAGCCAUACCGCGUGGGUGAAGAAGGCCUUCGGGUUGUAAAGCCCCUUUGUCGGGAAAGAAAAGCAGCAGGUUAAUACCCCGCUGUUCUGACGGUACCCAAAGAAUAAGCACCGGCUAACUUCGUG
This 492-nucleotide ribosomal RNA is filed under the name uncultured bacterium. Its description in RNAcentral is "partial 16S ribosomal RNA". It matches the Rfam family "Bacterial small subunit ribosomal RNA", at positions 29 to 507 of the family's 1533-position model. The record is from RNAcentral.